CGCCACCGGUUUCUUGGGCUCCAAACCCGAGCUCCCCGCGGAAUCUGCAAAACCCUUCCCGCUGCAGACGGUAUUCACUUCCUGACCGCGAGCCACGGCGGAUCCCACGUCCUCCGGGGAAAUGUAGUGCAGAGUAAGAGCCUCCUCAGAGUUCCCGACAUGCAGCGCGGAAGCCCUCGCAUUGGGGCCGCGGAGACACCUGGGAGUUCCGGGUUGGCUGGAGUACGCAGGCGCAGGCUCCACCCCCCCUCGCGGAGAACCUCGGCUGCGGCGGAGCUGAGACCCGACUUCCGGCUUCGGGGAAGCAGAGAAUGCGCAGUCGAUGUCUGGGUGGGCGCAGGUGCCGGAGGAGCCCGCCGGUGAGUCCCGCCGCCAGGCUACCAGCUUCCGGUUGGCUCCCGGGUCCCAGAAGUCCUCGCGCAUAGCCCGGAAGCCGGAAUGCCGGAGAUGGAGGGACCUUGGCUCUCAGCAGCGGGGUGCGAAAAAGCCUCUACCCAGCCUAUCAUCCAUAUAGAUGUUGGCGGUCUUACCCUUGGCCAUCUGCAGUGCCUUGGUCACGGUGUCUGCCAUUCUCAGGGAGUAGACCCCAACUACAAAACAUACUCU
Long non-coding RNA from Mustela erminea (ermine), 606 nucleotides. RefSeq lists it as uncharacterized. The transcript has 3 exons. The record is from RefSeq and is a predicted model, not a curated record. NCBI's taxonomy places the organism in Eukaryota, Metazoa, Chordata, Mammalia, Carnivora, Mustelidae.